UUUCUUUCAAACUUUUCUGAACCUUCUUUCUCAUCCAUCUCUCUACUGAAUCUUCUUCUCCUCUCUAAAUUUCUCACUCUAUUCUACUACUGCUUCUAUAGUGGAAGGUGUCUAAGUGUUAGAAGUGCUCUACCUUCACAGAACAGUGGGUAUUCUUCCUCUGGUAAGUUAUUUUCUUCUUUUGUACCUUAGGGAGUCGUGAUCAUGCAACAGGGUUCUGCUGCAUGUGACCCACUUUGUUUUCUCCCAAAUUUUAGUUUCAAUCAUCUUCUAAAAAUAUGUCUUCCAUCACCAAUUGCAAUCUGCAUGUGAUUCUAGCCUUCCUUGAGGUGAAAUUGAGUGUUUGAGGGAUUUCUAUGAGCUAGGUUAGCUGAUUAAAAGGUAAAGGGAGUUGGGUCUUUGAUUUUCUGUUUGGUAAAUUUAGUAAUGCAUGAGUUAGGUCUGUGUUUCAAAGUAUGAAAUGUUAUAUGUAUGAAACUGUUUGAUAUUUCACUACUGUUGGACUGAAAUGAGUAAUUUUGUAUGAUAAGGUUAAUGAUUAGUGUGGAUUUAGUGUGUGACUGUGAAAUUUGUAAUUUUGAAUUGGUAUGAAUAAGAAUUGAUGCAGAUAUUGAGUGAUUGAAUGAAGUGAUUUCUGUUAAAUAAGUUUUAGAUUAGCAGUUGAGUGAAUUUGGGUGUUUUGGGUCCUGUUAGAGGAGCUGAGGUAGUCAAUUUGAGGACUAGGUAUUAUAGGUUGUUCUGGUUAGUUUAGAUAAUUUAGGUAAGUCAAUUAGGACCUAAUUGGAUCCCUCAAAUGGUCAAAAUCAGACUCAAGGUGAUAUAAUUAAAUUUGGGUUCAUAGGUUGUGAGAUUUUAAGUUUUAAGGUGUAAAUCAAUGCAUAACUAAUUUAUAACGAUGUUAGAAAGGGUUGUAAUCAGUUGGACAAGUUUAAUUCAACAUAUAAAUUGAUUUAGGGGUGUUAGAAGUUUGUCAAAAUUAUUAGAAUUGGUAUGGGAGGGUGGAGUUGCUCAAUUAUGCAGUUUUAGGGUGCUGCAGAUCAUGUAGAGUCGCCUAGCGCACUCUGUGCGCUCUGCGAGGGGCUUCUGUCAGGAAAAAUUCGCACAGCGCACCACAGGGUGUGCGCUCAACGAAUUUUUUGCGACAGAUUGAGUAUUUUUGAUGAUUUUGACGUUUUGGAAGUUCCGGACGUCUGUUUUGGACGUUUUUUAGGUCAUUCUGGGGGGUUUGGACCCUUCCGGAACUGUUGGUGAUGGUUUCAAAGCCAUUUUCUUUGUCUAAGUAUGAGUUACGGGGUUUUGGGUUGUUUAGUGAUUCUUCUUGGACUGUUAUGAUAGGCUAAUGUAUAUUGAAUGGUUUUUUUUUAUAUGGAUUUCAAUGUGAUAACAUUAUGGUAUUCACUUGUGACGUCUUGAGUUACGUUGUAAAGUGAAAAUAUGGUUGAUGGACGUAAUUCCAUGAUCCUCAAGGGAGGUUACAUGGUGGUGCCACUGUAAUUUGUCGUGAUUUACCGUAUGAAUGGCCGGAGUUCAGGAUGGGGUUUACCUGGACAUUCUAAUGACCAUUCAUGCUCAAUUAGAGAGUGAUGAGUCAUGUGGUGAGAAUAACAGGAGGUCCUAGUCUUUGGUGUCUCCAUUUAUGGGCCAAGAUGAGUUUGGUUGGACUUACACUUGUGUGUGGUCGGGUGAAACCCCUCGGCAAUGGCUUUGCAAAGCAGUAGGGCCACAACAAGUGCACAAACCCCUGGAACUCGACAUUUCAUACUAGUCCGGACGGUCAAAUCACGUGGUCUGUCAUUAGUAUCAAUCAAAUGCAUUCAUUUACAGUUUGUGUUGUAUUAUUGUCAUUACAUGCUUGAAAUACUUGAUUGAUAACAUGUUUUAUUUUUAUUAUAUCUAGAUUACCCUUGCAUUUGUUUGUUGUAUGUACUUGCCUUUCCCCCUUGCGAUGAUCAUCCAAUCCUUUGGAUGUGAGUAGUAGCUGAUGAUGUACCCUUGGAGAAUGAAGAAGACACAGCUUCCAGUUCUUAGGAUCUUUUCUAGCUUUUGUUUUGUCAUGUUCUAUAUUUUUGGAAACACUCUUUAGGCAUCCUUAAAUCUUUAAUUGGUCAUGUAUUUUGGAGAAUUAUUAAACUUGUAUCAAAUUUUAAAUUUCAGCCAUAUUUUGGAUGAUUGUAU
RNAcentral lists this long non-coding RNA (2175 nucleotides) under Vigna radiata. RNAcentral's name for it is "long non-coding RNA (VRAD_LNC000424)". Lineage: Eukaryota; Viridiplantae; Streptophyta; Magnoliopsida; Fabales; Fabaceae. The record is from RNAcentral.